UAGGAGACUGACGUAGACGCCUAUAGCGUGCGUGCGUGCUGCGUCAGUGGCCUGCCGCCACCACCCCCGCCUGUGCCGCCCUUGGUUUUCGCGCCGCCCUCCUCAGCAAUUCUGAAGCGAGCACACCCACACGUGUAGAUGAGCGCCCACAUUGUUUUGCGGACACUACACAGUGGCUUCAGCACGCACGUUCGCACGUCUUCAAAGGGCUCAGACGCGCCGCCGCUGCUCACACCUCCCACCCCUCCCCCGAGAUGCCAGCUGCGUACAGUGCAGGGCCCUUUCCUCUCCCCUUGUGCUCCCCUCCCAUCCCCAGCAUCACCACAACAGCCACCACUCCCCCUCCCUCUCCACCGCUCUAUCCCGCCUUUUGCCAUCCAACGUGGCUCGUAAAAGACGUGAGGUGGCUGCAUUGUGUGCUGUGCCUCUGCCUUCCCCUCCCUCCACGCUCGGCAACCCCGGCACACGGACGCUUGCUCGAUCCCCCUCUCCCUCCUGCUGCCGGCGGUUCCCAUCACCAUCUCAGGGUUACCCACCCCUCCACAUUACGCCAAUCAUAGGCUCGUGUACUUGUGCGAACAUAUAGGCUCUCCUGUCCUGCGCGUUCCACCAACACUGCCCCAUACCCUUCACCCACCCUCUGCUGGACAUUGCCGGGCAGCUGCUCUCGCGCUCAUUUCUCUUGUGGCCUCCCUUUCCUCUCUCCCUUCCCUCCCCUCCCCUCCCCUCCCCUCCUCACUGUAUCGACCCAGCGGCAGCACCAUCAGCGUCAUGCAUGUCUCACUCGAACGGCGCAACAUCUACGAGCUGGGGGAGGUGCACUCGCGUAUCUAUGGCCUCAAGGCGGCCGCAAUCCCCACCACGGUGAAGCUGAACCUCAGCCACAAUCAUCUCCGUAACCUGCAGCGGCCCUUCGCGCACUCCAGCCAAGGCGACGUCCGUGUUGCUGCUGAUACCGAUACGGCGGUGUCUUCGUCUUUAGGUACGGCAUCGGCCGGCGCGUCGCACAUGUCGCUGGAGGAGGAGAGCAGCGCGCUGCGCCCCUUCACCUCCCUCACACAUCUCCUGGUCAAUCACAAUCAGUUGUGCAGCUUGGUGGGGCUGGGCGGCGCAGCUGAUACGCUGACUGUUCUUAUCGCCACGCACAACGCGCUCACAUCCGUGGAUGGCAUGCAGGCGUGCAGGCGAUUGGCUUACGUGGACCUCUCCUACAACUCCAUUGAGUCGCUGCAGGGGCUUCCGCUGAUGCUCGCGGCACCGUCUCGGGAAGCUGCCUCUCUGAAUAGCCCCACCGCAUAUGAUGUUCUUCAUAAAGUGGCCUCGGAGAGCACAGCCGAGCCCUCGCACGGGGGGGCAGCUGCCCUGGAAGGUGUCGCCCUAGCUGCGGAGCUGAUAGCUGAUGGCACGGCGGCGAAGGAAGGCGAAGAAAUCGCCUUUGAGCACGUCGACGGUGACGACAACGAAGGUCAUACGCCUAUCUCCACCGCGUCUAUCCCUAUCAGCCUCCAGUCCUCGGUGGGUGCAGAAACGCAUCAGCGCUCCCACGCGCCUGGCGGGGCCGGGCAUCCAAACCACCACUGCCGUACCUGCUGCUCACGUCAGCAACAGCAGCAGCCACCCUCGGAUCGGUCUCUAGGAGGCGCCCGCAGCUUCGCGACGCGUCCGUCGCGAAGCGCCGAGACGUCGAUCCAGCUUGACGUGGGCGAGACGACCAUCUCGCUUAGCGCCGGCGCGUCGGCCGCCACUGGGGCGCAUGCGUACUCUCAACCGGUAGCAGCACCUGCAGCGGCGGAUGCCUCUCCGCUGUUGCCUGGCGCCAAGUCAGGCUCUGGCACCGUAGACAGCGACAAGGUCGGCGUCGUGCUCAUCCUUUCGCACAACCGCCUGCGUGGGCGUUCUCUGCCGGGGAUCGUGUGGGUGGAGUCGGCAGACGCUGAAAUCGGAACUGCACAGGGUGGAGCGCCCUCGUCAACGCACCCUCUUCUGCGCCCGUGGUGCACGGCUCUGACGCACCUGGAUCUGUCGCACAACUACAUCGAAGACGCUCGUGAUGUUCGCCGGCUCUUCACUCCGAUACGCUGGCCUUCCUCCCCUUCCCCUUCCUCCGCUGCCGCCGUCACGUGUGCCCCGGCACUAGCCCGCCUGCGGUGUCUCGAUAUGAGCGGCAACCCAUGCUUGGUGAACGGAUCGCUGGCGGAUGAGCUCGCGAGGUCAGCGCGGCGGCCGACGAUCGAGCCGGCAAGCGACCGCCAGAGCGAUGAAGCGAGAGAGCAGCAGCGGCCCGUGAGGACAACCGUGGGGGACGACGACAGGUCUGUGCUAUCGUCUGUGCAGUUUCGCUUGAACUACGCCUCUCGCACGCUGAGUGCCGCGUUCCGGGGCCCCUCGCCUUUGGCGAGUGCAGCCGCCUUUCCGAGCCUGGCCGCUGCGCAACGUGCCAUGGAUGCCCUUCUGACCUCCCUCGCCGAUCGCUGGCAGUGCACCGCGCCAUCGUCGUCGGCGCCGGCCACCGCAACGAUGUUCUCUCUCUUCUCCCCUGUGGACGCCCGCGUUGUUGUGGAGAAGGCACCGCAACCGUGUACCGUUCACUUGCGUGGCGGCGAGCUUACUGUGUUGGCCGCAGCGCUCCAGCAGCGCGGUGCUCGCCUGGGUGAGAUGCUGGAGGUGCCGGCGUCGGCGCCAGGCCUUUAUGCGAAGCGCGCUGCCGUGUCGCCAACGCCGAACAGAGCAGGCAGCGGUCACAGCCCACCUCCCUCUAGCAACUCACGCAACGGGGGCGACGCACACACGGCUGUGGCGAUGGCCGCAGGCGCAGAUGCCUCCCGUGCCAUCUUUCUCACGCCGCCGCCUCGAUGGACCCGCGAUACUUCCGUCGGUGUGGACGCCAGCGUCUUGAGUAGCGGGGGCGGCCCGUCGCCGCCAGCGGCGCAGCAGCCGGCGACACGGAUGGCUAAGUCCUCAGCGCCGCCUACGCCACCGAGAGCGGCAGUUGUGGAAGCAUCACAGGACGCUCUGAGCACCUCCAGCAGUAGCUGCCGAGCGGAAACGUCGACGGUGGGAUACCGGCUUUUCCAGGGUCGGGGCCAUCAACGGCAGCCGGGGCCUGUCGCCGACCAGAGUGCCGGGUACAGUGGAACUGCAGUGGCGCACCUUGAUGUCACCGCCGGCAGUGGCACGGCAGCAGUCUCGCACGCCGCAACGGCGUCGCUCUCUGCAGAUGCGGUGGAGCUGCAGCUCCUGCGCGCUGAAGUUGUUGAGCUGCGCCGUCGCUAUCGUGAACUUCAGCGCCAAACUCACGACCAGACGUGCGUGCUGCAGCGCCAAGAGGCCACGAUACGAGAGCUGAAGAAGACGGCAGCACUCGCGCAGCAGGAGGCGCAAGCUGAGUUGAGCAAGGCGCAACUCGAGAUCCGGUGGCUGCAUGCACAGAUGCAAAUGCUGAACGAUUUAGCGGCACAGGCGGCACCGCCUCAGCCGACUUUGUCCGUGCCGCUGCAGUUGCCGCCCUCGAACGGCUUGUGAGCCUGUCGCGGUGCACACAUGGUACUGAGUGUGUCUGUGUGUGUGUGGGGGGGGGGGGGGGGCGGCCAUGGUGUACGCUGAGAUGGGAGGGAGGAGCACGAAGGCUGCCCAUCGGUGCCCGUCUCCUCGACGCCCUACCCGUUCCCCCACUCCCCAUAUUUCAACCGCUGACUUCUGUGCGCAGCCGUCGUCUCUCUCUCGACACACCCCCCAUCCAGCACCCAAAGUCAAGUGCAGCUGCAGCCCCACCACUACUACGUACACAUAGAUACGCCUCACAUCUGAUAUGACGUACGGAUGUGCGUGUCCUGUGGGUUUGGAGGACCGACCACAGGAUGGUCGCAUCUCUACAGGGGGAGGGGCGCAGCCUCUAGCAGACACCCAUAACGCGCAUGGGUGUUCAGCGCUUGUCUAUGAAGGCGGGAGGGAGGGGCAACGC
RNAcentral lists this unclassified non-coding RNA (3961 nucleotides) under Leishmania donovani. RNAcentral's name for it is "gene:LdHU3.05.1300(CDS-product:hypothetical_prote in)". Lineage: Eukaryota; Euglenozoa; Kinetoplastea; Trypanosomatida; Trypanosomatidae. The record is from RNAcentral.